This 600-nucleotide ribosomal RNA is filed under the name uncultured marine bacterium. Its description in RNAcentral is "bacterial SSU rRNA". It matches the Rfam family "Bacterial small subunit ribosomal RNA", at positions 8 to 605 of the family's 1533-position model. The record is from RNAcentral.
AGAGUAUGAUCCUGGCUCAGAUUGAACGCUGGCGGCAGGCCUAACACAUGCAAGUCGAGCGGUAACAGAUCCAGCUUGCUGGAUGCUGACGAGCGGCGGACGGGUGAGUAAUGCAUAGGAAUCUGCCCGAUAGUGGGGGAUAACCUGGGGAAACCCAGGCUAAUACCGCAUACGUCCUACGGGAGAAAGGGGGCUCCGGCUCCCGCUAUGGGAUGAGCCUAUGUCGGAUUAGCUAGUUGGUGAGGUAACGGCUCACCAAGGCCACGAUCCGUAGCUGGUCUGAGAGGAUGAUCAGCCACAUCGGGACUGAGACACGGCCCGAACUCCUACGGGAGGCAGCAGUGGGGAAUAUUGGACAAUGGGGGAAACCCUGAUCCAGCCAUGCCGCGUGUGUGAAGAAGGCCCUCGGGUUGUAAAGCACUUUCAGCGAGGAAGAACGCCUAGCGGUUAAUACCCGCUAGGAAAGACAUCACUCGCAGAAGAAGCACCGGCUAACUCCGUGCCAGCAGCCGCGGUAAUACGGAGGGUGCAAGCGUUAAUCGGAAUUACUGGGCGUAAAGCGCGCGUAGGUGGCUUGAUAAGCCGGUUGUGAAAGCCCCG